Molecule: ribosomal RNA, 406 nt
Filed under: uncultured bacterium
Lineage: Bacteria
Description: partial 16S ribosomal RNA
Rfam family: Bacterial small subunit ribosomal RNA
Source: RNAcentral
GACGAACGCUGGCGGCCUGCCUAACACAUGCACGUCGAACGAGUGGCGGACGGGUGAGUAAUGUCUGGGAACCUGCCCGAUGGAGGGGGAUAACUACUGGAAACGGUAGCUAAUACCGCAUACCAUCGGAUGUGCCAAGAUGGGAUUAGCUAGUAGGUGGGAUAACGGUGCACCGAGGCCAAGAUCCCUAGCUGGUCUGAGAGGAUGACCAGCCACACUGGAACUGAGACACGGUCCAGACUCCUACGGGAGGCAGCAGUGGGGAAUAUUGCACAAUGGGCGCAAGCCUGAUGCAGCCAUGCCGCGUGUAUGAAGAAGGCCUUCGGGUUGUAAAGUACUUUCAGCGAGGAGGCGUUACUCGCAGAAGAAGCACCGGCUAACUCCGUGCCAGCCGCCGCGGUAAUUC